AGGGUUAUGGCUUGGGUGUGAUCUAGGGUUAGGGUUUGUACGCCUGAGUCAGGGAAUUGAAGGAGGAUUUGAUGGGCUUUUGCUUGCAUUUUGAAGAGGUUUCUGGGGUUCGAAGUUUGAUUGGUGAAAUUAAUAGAUAUGGGAUUUCGAUUUUGAGUCUGGAACUCUGGAUUGCAGAAAGAGAUCGAUACACGAAUUUAUGCGCGACCUGGGACUUCCUUCACCAAACUCAAC
RNAcentral lists this unclassified non-coding RNA (234 nucleotides) under Hevea brasiliensis (rubber tree). The record is from RNAcentral. Lineage: Eukaryota; Viridiplantae; Streptophyta; Magnoliopsida; Malpighiales; Euphorbiaceae.